UACGGAGGGGGCUAGCGUUAUUCGGAAUUAUUGGGCGUAAAGGGCGCGUAGGCGGCCCGGUAAGUCAAAGGUGAAAUCCCUCGGCUCAACUGAGGAACUGCCUUUGAAACUGUCGGGCUUGAGGCCGGGAGGGGGUAGCGGAAUUCCCAGUGUAGCGGUGAAAUGCGUAGAUAUUGGGAGGAACACCGGUGGCGGAGGCGACUACCUGGACCGGUUCUGACGCUGAUGCGCGAAAGCGUGGGUAGCAAACAGG
This 253-nucleotide ribosomal RNA is filed under the name uncultured bacterium. RNAcentral describes it as "partial 16S ribosomal RNA". It matches the Rfam family "Bacterial small subunit ribosomal RNA", at positions 524 to 776 of the family's 1533-position model. The record is from RNAcentral.